AAAAAAAAAGCCGGAUUAUCACUGCUAAGGCCCUAGUUAUUGGAAAGAAUACUCUACUUCUGCACUCCCUCCUGAGAUGCUCACAGUGAUUCUGGACAUUAUGUGCCUAGGAUGCAUAUGUAGUUUUUGUUAGCAGCUGAGAUUCCCUAGGCCUACCCCCAGACAUUCUGAUUCAGAAGGGAUGGGGCAGGCAUGCGUGGUUCCUAGAUCAAGACAACCUUAGGGGCGUAUGCACACAUGGCCCACGAUUCAGGAAGCCACCUGAGACGAAAAUGCCUGUAUUUACUAGGCACAAGUGCUCCAGCACACCUCCUAUUAGUUGGUCUGAAUAUUCCACUUACUCAGAGUGACUAAGUGGCAGAAAUUUCCAGGGUCUGUCCUGCCAAACUAGCCAUAGUUUUCUGUAUUCCCUGACAUCAUCAGAGAUGAUGGAGUUACUCUCCAAGGGGCAGUGUUGAGCUUGGGGGCUUGACUGAGUGCCCUGUCUGUGUGUACUCAAGGGAGUUGCCUUUGGGCUUAUAAAGGAGCCAAAUAAGGGGUCUCAUCGCUGUAUCAUUUUCCAGAAAUUCUUACUCAACAUUUUACAUUUCUAUAGCAAGUCAGUAGAACUGAUGGAUUAAAAUACAUCCCAGAGAACUAGUGCUGCUGCUCUGGAAACACUGCAGGAGCCACUGUCACACUGAUGCCUGAUGCAGUCCAGGCUGCCUAACCAGAGACUGCUGUCUCUAGCUCAUUUUUCACUUAGGGCCACAAUGCGUGGACCUCCAUCCCGCUUUUGGUUGGGAAAUACGUAGGCAAGAUAUGGUGAUUAUCUGUGUUGGAGGCAGCUGCGACAGUUCACUCUUCUGGGCAUGUUAAUUGCUUUUUGGUAAAAUUAAAUAUUUAGAGGAGAUAACACGUAAAAAAUAUUUGUCAGCCCAUGUAUAGAAAUGACAUUUUCAGAAAUAAGUAUAGCUAAUCACACAACAUUCUAAGAACAUGGGUACCUUUUCUGAACUAACACUUAGGCACCUCCUCAGUCAUUAAGACUGUUAUUUUAUUGUACUCUAUCUUCAAAUUAGUAGCUGGUUAAAGAAUACCAUGCUAAUGGUAUUUGCUGUGCUUCUGGAGAUAGUAACAUUCUCAAAAUGUGAGCAGGUAACAACUUGGGUUUUGAAAUCUGUCUCCUUGACUUACACCAGACAUGGUGCAUCCCAUGCCUUACAAAUCAAAUUUACCUUUUAUUUCAACAGCAAAUGUUCCUUAGAGGGAUUACCCUCUAUAUCUGUGUAAUUUUUUUUUUUUACUUUUGCACAUGAGAAGAAAAUUUGUAUGGAAUAAAUUGGGUCUAAUGAGUGACAUCAUCAUGGCAUUGCGUUGGAUUUCCCAUAAAGCUUUUCUUAUAGAGCUUCUGUUAAAGUUUAAGCAGCCUGCCCUGUCAUCUUCUGCAAAAACCAGCUGUUUUUUUCUCUCUCUCUUUUUGAUGUUGUAUAUAUUCCU
RNAcentral lists this long non-coding RNA (1479 nucleotides) under Homo sapiens (human). Its description in RNAcentral is "HSALNT0071686". The record is from RNAcentral. Lineage: Eukaryota; Metazoa; Chordata; Mammalia; Primates; Hominidae.